AUUCAGCUGACGAGUCUCAAAAGGAGUAAACUCCAGUCUUGAAU
This is a non-coding RNA of Schistosoma mattheei, 44 nucleotides long. The record is from Rfam. NCBI's taxonomy places the organism in Eukaryota, Metazoa, Platyhelminthes, Trematoda, Strigeidida, Schistosomatidae.